AAUAUAUCAUUUUUAUGUAUGCAGUUGUGGUGUGAAUGUUUAAGUUGUGGAAGUGAACUGGAAUAGUUUUCUGCAUGAAUUUGUUUUGACAUUUGGAAAUCCAAAAUAAUCGAACAUCUCAUUUGGCGAGAAAAUCUCUUUAUGAAUGAUUGAGACUGCAAGAGGCUCACACGCUAUUAUACAAAAUGUAUGGUAAAGAUUCAAAUCAUGUUUGGCUGGAAAAAAAAAAUGCUCUGACUACCUUAAGUUUAACAUAGAAAGUAGAAUACCAUGAAGAUAAGCUUUAAGUAGGACAUCAGGGAUUGGGCACCUUUAGGGAAAAAUGUCUGUUCGAAACCUUUCCAAAGCUCGCCUAUUAUUAUCUCUCAGUUUUUGUUUUUAUUUAUAGCUUAAAUAGCUUUACCUUUAUGUUGGGUAAUUUAUUUUUGGAUUUUAUACAUUUUGUAUGGUGGAUUUUUUCU
This 461-nucleotide unclassified non-coding RNA is filed under the name Hevea brasiliensis (rubber tree). The record is from RNAcentral. Lineage: Eukaryota; Viridiplantae; Streptophyta; Magnoliopsida; Malpighiales; Euphorbiaceae.